UACGGGGGGGGUAAGCGUUGUUCGGAAUUACUGGGCGUAAAGGGCUCGUAGGCGGCCAACUAAGUCGGACGUGAAAUCCCUCAGCUUAACUGGGGAACUGCGUCCGAUACUGGAUGGCUUGGAUUUGGGAGAGGGAUGCGGAAUUCCAGGUGUAGCGGUGAAAUGCGUAGAUAUCGGGAGGAACACCUGUGGCGAAGGCGGCUUUCUGGGCCUUACCUGACGCUGAGACGCGAAAGCGUGGGGAGCGAACCGG
Molecule: ribosomal RNA, 253 nt
Filed under: uncultured bacterium
Lineage: Bacteria
Description: partial 16S ribosomal RNA
Rfam family: Bacterial small subunit ribosomal RNA
Source: RNAcentral